AUGAAUGUCAUGGAGGACCGUGAUCUGGCCUUCAUGCUCGAACGAAGCCCCGUCUUGGAGAUCCUCGUCAUCAUGGGGAGCCAGAGCCAAGUGCGCCUCCGCCUCAUCAGCCAAAGCCUGCGCUGCGUUCAGCUCGGCCACACCUACUUGGAGGACAUAGACGUGGUGGAUGCCCCCAGCUUGGAGAGGCUCUUCCUGUGGGAUACAAUUCUCACUGGCGAGCUCACUCCCCCCAGGAUGAGCUCCACCAGGAACCACUCUUCCAGGCUCAACAUUGGCCGUGCACCCAACCUGCGUAUGCUGGGAUACCUUCACCCAGGAGGACAAGAGUUGGGGAUUACCAACAGCGUCAUUGUGGCUGGUAGCAAGGAGAGCAUUGUCCCUAGCGUCCAAAUUUUGGCCAUAGAGGUGCAAUUUGGUAUCCGCGAUGCUGUCAAGAAAGUGCCUGGCUUUCUCAGAUGCUUCCCCAACCUGGAGACCCUCCAUGUCCAUUCCUCCUCCAUAUCUGAAGAGCCCACUGGGAAGGUCAAUCUGAAGUUCUGGCAGGAGGGCGGUCCCAUCAAAUGCGUCCUGCAGAGCCUGAAGAAGGUGUUUUUCAACGAAUUCCAAGGGUCGAAAAGCGAGGUUGCUUUCCUCAAGUUCAUCGCGGAGAGAGGGCGGGUGCUAGAGCAGAUGGCUGUUGUGGUGGCCCGUGAAUGCUUCUCUUUGGGGGGUAAUGUGAAUGCCAAACUGAAGCCUCUGACCAGUGCAAAAUGGAACAACAAAGCUUGCAAACUAGAGCUCUUCAAGAGCCCACACGAUGACGUGGGAGGUCCAGCUUACUCCGUUGAGAAAGCUUGUGAUUUCGAGUUUGCUGACCCUUUCGACCUCAACUACCACUACAAACCAGAAAGGAUCUCUGUAAGUUAA
This 909-nucleotide ribosomal RNA is filed under the name Triticum aestivum (bread wheat). RNAcentral describes it as "partial small subunit ribosomal RNA". Lineage: Eukaryota; Viridiplantae; Streptophyta; Magnoliopsida; Poales; Poaceae. The record is from RNAcentral.